Molecule: RNA transcript, 307 nt
Organism: Arabidopsis thaliana (thale cress)
Lineage: Eukaryota; Viridiplantae; Streptophyta; Magnoliopsida; Brassicales; Brassicaceae
Exons: 4
Source: RefSeq
CAAAGAAGAUCUAGGUGCAGAGACCUCUAUCGACAAUGUGUGACAUCAGUGGUUUUGGGGUUUCUCUUAUUUCUCGUUUACUCCACCCUCAUGAUCAGCUACAGACUUCACAAGCGUUCACUGUUUGAGAAAUACAACAUCAGGAAUAACUUCAUCAACAAGGAUCUUAACUGGAGAGAACGUGAAGCUCUGGAAUCAAUUCCAUCUCUUUUCACAAAAGAGGUCCUUGAUGUUCUCAAUUCCACCACCUCCAGUGACAAUCCUUUGAGCCUUGAUUCACUCAGGAAGAAUCAUUCAGUGGCUAACU